RNAcentral lists this transfer RNA (72 nucleotides) under Ovis aries (sheep). Its description in RNAcentral is "tRNA-Sup (TCA) (tRNA-Sup-TCA-4-1)". It matches the Rfam family "tRNA". From Rfam's summary of the family: Transfer RNA (tRNA) molecules are approximately 80 nucleotides in length. The record is from Rfam by way of RNAcentral. Lineage: Eukaryota; Metazoa; Chordata; Mammalia; Artiodactyla; Bovidae.
UCCCUGGUGGUCCAGUGGCUAAGACUCCAUGCUUUCAGUGCAGGGUCCCAGGUUCAAUUCCUGGUCAGGGAA